RNAcentral lists this ribosomal RNA (253 nucleotides) under uncultured bacterium. RNAcentral's name for it is "partial 16S ribosomal RNA". It matches the Rfam family "Bacterial small subunit ribosomal RNA", at positions 524 to 776 of the family's 1533-position model. The record is from RNAcentral.
UACGUAGGGUGCAAGCGUUAAUCGGAAUUACUGGGCGUAAAGCGUGCGCAGGCGGUUUUUUAAGGCAGAUGUGAAAUCCCCGGGCUUAACCUGGGAAUGGCAUUUGGGACUGCAAGGCUAGAGUGUGUCAGAGGGGGGUAGAAUUCCACGUGUAGCAGUGAAAUGCGUAGAUAUGUGGAGGAAUACCGAUGGCGAAGGCAGCCCCCUGGGAUAACACUGACGCUCAUGCACGAAAGCGUGGGGAGCAAACAGG